GACCGCGUAGCUCAGUUGGAAGAGCAUUGGGCUAGUAUUCCAAAGGUCGUAGGUUCAAAUCCCUCUGUGGCCG
RNAcentral lists this transfer RNA (73 nucleotides) under Paramuricea clavata. It matches the Rfam family "tRNA". Rfam says of the family: Transfer RNA (tRNA) molecules are approximately 80 nucleotides in length. Their secondary structure includes four short double-helical elements and three loops (D, anti-codon, and T loops). Lineage: Eukaryota; Metazoa; Cnidaria; Anthozoa; Malacalcyonacea; Plexauridae. The record is from Rfam by way of RNAcentral.